AUUGCACUCCGGGUCACAAGCCCGGGGUGCGUCCGGCUGAGGGUCGGUAA
Molecule: ribosomal RNA, 50 nt
Filed under: Anoplodactylus portus
Lineage: Eukaryota; Metazoa; Arthropoda; Pycnogonida; Pantopoda; Phoxichilidiidae
Description: partial 5.8S ribosomal RNA
Source: RNAcentral